UACGUAGGUGGCAAGCGUUGUCCGGAUUUAUUGGGCGUAAAGCGCGCGCAGGCGGUCCUUUAAGUCUGAUGUGAAAUCUUGCGGCUCAACCGCAAGCGGUCAUUGGAAACUGGGGGACUUGAGUACAGAAGAGGAAAGUGGAAUUCCACGUGUAGCGGUGAAAUGCGUAGAUAUUAGGAAGAACACCAGUGGCGAAGGCGGCUCACUGGCCCGGUACUGACGCUGAGGCGCGAAAGCGUGGGGAGCAAACAGG
RNAcentral lists this ribosomal RNA (253 nucleotides) under uncultured bacterium. Its description in RNAcentral is "partial 16S ribosomal RNA". It matches the Rfam family "Bacterial small subunit ribosomal RNA", at positions 524 to 776 of the family's 1533-position model. The record is from RNAcentral.